AUGGUAGUGUGGAGUUUCUCCAUGUGAGAGUAGGUCAUCGUCAAGC
RNAcentral lists this ribosomal RNA (46 nucleotides) under Phytopseudomonas punonensis. Lineage: Bacteria; Pseudomonadati; Pseudomonadota; Gammaproteobacteria; Pseudomonadales; Pseudomonadaceae. The record is from RNAcentral.